This 484-nucleotide RNase MRP RNA is filed under the name Pseudogymnoascus sp. VKM F-3775. RNAcentral describes it as "RNase MRP". It matches the Rfam family "RNase MRP". From Rfam's summary of the family: RNase MRP is an enzymatically active ribonucleoprotein with two distinct roles in eukaryotes. The record is from Rfam by way of RNAcentral. Lineage: Eukaryota; Fungi; Ascomycota; Leotiomycetes; Thelebolales; Thelebolaceae.
UCCUCGUUCAAAGGAUCGCAGUCGAAGCACACAAACGGAGCAGACCUUGUGUCUCUCAGCUCUUCAUGGGCUAAUUAAAGCUUUGGGAGAAAGUCCCCGGACGACCUUUUUACCUCGUGUAACAAAGGAACGCGGAAACGCGCCGCCAUAGAAGCACUGCGGCUUCUUUAAAUUUCUCCUUUCCUUCCUAUACCCAGGCCGACCUUUGUCCGCUGCUUGUACUCGCUUUCUGGACGUUUGAUUGCUGCUUCUGGGUGAGGGGGAGACCAUAUGGAUGAAGAUAUGAGUCCGAGCUCCUCUGAUCUCAGUUGCGGCAGAGCACUUGAAAGGACUGCGGGGAGGCGGGGAAGUACACUCGGUCUGGGUUGGGGCUCAUGGGAGGGGGGAGGCUUUCGUCGAGAGUGAUAGUUAUGCGAUUGCCCUUCUGGUCAGCCUCACGGUUGAUCUGGGGGGUAACUCGAUGGGGCUUAUUCUUGAGACGAGG